Molecule: ribosomal RNA, 436 nt
Filed under: uncultured bacterium
Lineage: Bacteria
Description: bacterial SSU rRNA
Rfam family: Bacterial small subunit ribosomal RNA
Source: RNAcentral
AUUGAACGCUGGCGGCAUGCCUUACACAUGCAAGUCGAACGGUAACGGGCCUUCGGGUGCCGACGAGUGGCGAACGGGUGAGUAAUGCAUCGGAACGUACCUUUCAGUGGGGGAUAACGUAGCGAAAGUUACGCUAAUACCGCAUAUUCUGUGAGCAGGAAAGCAGGGGAUCGCAAGACCCUGCGCUGAUUGAGCGGCCGAUGUCAGAUUAGCUAGUUGGUGAGGUAAAAGGCUCACCAAGGCGACGAUCUGUAGCGGGUCUGAGAGGAUGAUCCGCCACACUGGAACUGAGACACGGUCCAGACUCCUACGGGAGGCAGCAGUGGGGAAUUUUGGACAAUGGGGGCAACCCUGAUCCAGCCAUGCCGCGUGAGUGAAGAAGGCCUUCGGGUUGGUUAAAGACGUCUUUCGGUCCGGGAACGGAAAGUACGCAUGG